GACGAACGCUGGCGGCGUGCUUAACACAUGCAAGUCGAACGAGAGCGUAGAGAAAGCUUGCUUUUUCUACAAUCUAGUGGCAAACGGGUGAGUAACGCGUAAACAACCUGCCCUACGGAUGGGGACAACAGCUGGAAACGGCUGCUAAUACCGAAUACGUUCCGAAAGUCGCAUGACUAUCGGAAGAAAGGAUGGCCUCUAUUUAUAAGCUAUCGCCGGAGGAGGGGUUUGCGUCUGAUUAGCUAGUUGGAGGGGUAACGGCCCACCAAGGCGACGAUCAGUAGCCGGUCUGAGAGGAUGAACGGCCACAUUGGAAUUGGGACACGGUCCAGACUCCUACGGGAGGCAGCAGUGGGGAAUCUUCCGCAAUGGGCGAAAGCCUGACGGAGCAACGCCGCGUGAGUGAAGACGGCCUUCGGGUUGUAAAGCUCUGUUAUACGGGACGAAUAAUCUUGUGGUUAAUACCCAUGAGAAGUGACGGUACCGUAAGAGAAAGCCACGGCUAACUACGUG
Molecule: ribosomal RNA, 513 nt
Filed under: uncultured bacterium
Lineage: Bacteria
Description: partial 16S ribosomal RNA
Rfam family: Bacterial small subunit ribosomal RNA
Source: RNAcentral